This is a transfer RNA of Colletotrichum fioriniae PJ7, 132 nucleotides long. It matches the Rfam family "tRNA". Rfam says of the family: Transfer RNA (tRNA) molecules are approximately 80 nucleotides in length. Their secondary structure includes four short double-helical elements and three loops (D, anti-codon, and T loops). The record is from Rfam. NCBI's taxonomy places the organism in Eukaryota, Fungi, Ascomycota, Sordariomycetes, Glomerellales, Glomerellaceae.
GGCAACUUGGCCGAGCGGUCUAAGGCGCCAGACUCAAGAUAACGGGCUGUCUAAAAGCGAUCUACAUCUUCCCUGAUACCAGGGAGCAUUCUGGUCUCGAAAGAGGCGUGAGUUCGAAUCUCACAGUUGUCA